AAAGCUGCCACUGCUUCUUAGAAUACGUGUUUCACUUCCGUGUUAUGUCCAACUCCUCUGAAAGAAGAAUCAACCAAUUUUUUAUAAAUAUCCGGUGUUCCUUAUACUUUAAAUAAGGGUAAUAUAAACCCGAGUUUGAAUUUCUUUUGCGUUUUGUCCGGGCUAGCCAAAUUUGACAUUAAUCGGGGUGAAAAAUAUUCAUAGGAUCAAACCACAUCUAACGGAGGCGCCAAAUGUGUUGCACAUGAUGCGUUAUAUGUAGGGCUCCGUGUUAAUUUUCGGAUAAAUCCCAAAAAGAAACGAUAAACACUCGCCGAUAAAAUUUUUGACAAUACCGAUUUAUCCAAUAAACUCCGAUUUCAACGGCCAAUAUGACCUUGUUCCGUUCUUUAUCGAAAGCCUUUCAAUAAAGGCCAUAUUCUAAGCGGUCAAUGAUACAUCGGCCGGUUUGGCUGAUAUAAACUUUACCUCACGUCAACAGUAUCUCGUAGACCGCACCCAUCGCACAUUUAAUAAAAGGCUUGUCGCCCUCGGGAGCGCGAGACGACAUAUUGAUAUACAGCCCCUUGGCGGCACUCAAGCGCCAGGGGACCUAAUCGAGCGCGGAAAGUCUGCUGUCGGAAAGCAUGGCAUGCUCACAUGACGCAUUCCGUGUCAGGCUGUACGAAGCAUGCUACAUACACUCUCACGUAGCGGUAAAUUCAGAGCACCAACAGCUGAAAAAGGACUCACCUGUGUUUAGGCGCGGAAGCGGAAGUGAAACACGUAUUCUAAGAAGCAGUGGCAGCUUUAUUGCACAUUCACAAAUCAUCAUUAGCUUUCUGUAGCGCGUCAACAUAAAUUUUAGGCAAGCAAUAUGGGAAGGAAACGAAAGCUUUCCAGCGACUACGUAAUGAAGUUUCGUGAUUUUGAAGAGUCAAUGCCAUCUGAAGGAGUCAUUGUUUGCAAGUUUUGUCGUGUGACAGUUAGCAUUGCCACUGGCAAGGGCGCCUUGAGAAUUGCGGAGCAUCUACAAUCAUAACGCCAUGCCCAGCUGAAGAAGCCGCGCCUAGACACAGGCAACUCGUCACAGCAAAGCUCGCUAGAAGAAUGCAUCACAUGGGCCCGAUCCAAUAGACAAGACGCGGAUGACGUCCCGCACCAGUUUUGCCGUGCACUCUGUCAUGCUGGGACUCCAUUGCACCAGGCUGAUGGACCUCUUGGCAGCAUCUUUCGAAGCAAGUGUCCGGUUGCAGUGCACCUGAUCUUUGUUGGAGUCUUGGCCCUGCCUUGUACAGCGUCCUCGAAUAUGGCAACAACCAUACAAAGCACGCGAGUCCCUUCGAGAACACUGAGUAUUCCCGUACGUGAGGGUGACAUUCCUCCAGAAGCAAUGCAGUUCAUUGUGCCCUACAUGAACACCUGGCCGACUCCUGCUGACUGCUGUGCUAACGGCGGCACCUGCGUUCACGGAGAAAACGGUGAACAGUCUUGUCAUGCGUUCGAGUGCCUUCUGAGGUACGCAGUGCAUGGUUCUGCUUUGCGGUGGCCGGACGGCAUUAUUUAGACCACGAGGCUUCCCCUCCACGAUGAAUGACAGCAACUUGCGCGUGCGCAAUGCCUGAAUUCAACGUCCGCGUCGUAAAAGCCCAGAUGCAUGCACA
Dermacentor andersoni is the source of this 1643-nucleotide non-coding RNA. The record is from RefSeq and is a predicted model, not a curated record. NCBI's taxonomy places the organism in Eukaryota, Metazoa, Arthropoda, Arachnida, Ixodida, Ixodidae.